This is an RNA transcript of Sapajus apella (tufted capuchin), 5547 nucleotides long. It is a transcript of the gene named ubiquitin-conjugating enzyme E2 D2 pseudogene, with no coding region annotated. NCBI's taxonomy places the organism in Eukaryota, Metazoa, Chordata, Mammalia, Primates, Cebidae. The record is from RefSeq and is a predicted model, not a curated record. The transcript has a single exon.
UACCACAAAAUUUUAAAGGUGGAAGGAAUGGUACAAUGUUGGUAAUUCUUAAAAACAUAUAUACUGUCUGUCCUGGUUUCCGGAUGAAAACACUAAAACUUAGAGAAUCUGAGGAUCAGGGAUAAGGUCACGAUAGCUAGCAGUAGAGCCAUAGGAAAUUCAACUUAUCCUAUGGUUUCUGUGUGCUACACUAGUGCUUCUUAAAUUUCAGUUAUUUACAUAUAUUAUGUAGGUUUCUCAGAUAAAGUUAUACAGGGUAGGUGAAAUCCCUGGAAUGUGCUGUGUUACAAUUAUUCCUUCUUCAAGUAACUGAAGAUAUUAAAUUAUGGCAAGGUUUCUCAACCAAAGUCUCAGCGAUAUCUAUACACUUACAUUAAAGGAAAAUGAAUACAUAGGCAAUCCCCUAUCAGAAUUUUUGGAAUUCUGAUCUUUACUGUUUUGAUAAGUCUCUUCCAAAGGUGUUUUAGAGACUAAUUUAUCAAUUUGAUUACUAAGUAAAGCAAGGAAAGAACUAAAGGAAUUUUGCAUGGGGAGAAGACCAAUGAGAUUUUUCUAUGAACAGAAUAGUGACUAAAUUUUACCAUGUGGCCUACAAUGUCUGUCUCAGUCAAGGUUAUAUACAAUCCCUCUGUAUUCUUCUGUCUCCCAAUAUCAUGCCUGGAGCCAAGACACUUGGACAAAUAAAGAAUCCUACUUUUAGACGGGAGACUCAAAGUAGUAAAUGUAAAUAUUGUUAAGAUAUUACAUAAGGAACAAAGGAAGAGUGGCUCUCUUUGACUCAUUUCUACUCAAAUUACUAUUUUGUUGUACUUUAUGAAAAUUAACAGUCUGAACAAGAGGAGGAAGUUAGUUUAAUUUUGGAAGAUCUUAAAUUGUAUAUCAGUUCUCCAAUGGCCAUUUUUAAUCAACUCAAUUUUUAAACAAAAACUUAUAAAUAUGACUGAACUGAAGAUUUCUAUAGAGAGCUUCAACAUAAGACUUGAUCAAGCAGAAGAAAGGAUCAGUAAACUCACAGACAGGUUAUUAAAAAUUACCCAGUCAAAGGAACAAAAAGAGUAAAGGAAUGAAAAAGAGUGAGAAAGGCUGUGAGAAUUAUGGGGCAAUGAAGCAAACUAAUCUUUGCAUUAUAGGAGUUCCAGAAGGAACAGAGAAUGAGAAAGGAGUACUGAAUAUAUUUAAAGAAAUAAUGACAGAAAACUUUAUAAACUAGGGACAGAUGUAAAUAUCUACACAUAAGAAGCUUUGAAGAUCUCCAGUUAGGUUCAAUUGAAACAAGGCUAAAAUAAUACAUAGUAAAACUCUCAGAAGCAUUAAGACAAAGAGAGGAUCCUGAAAGCAGCAAGAGAAAAGAAUCGUAUCUCAUAAAAUAGAACUCCAACAUGGCUGUAAUUAGAUUUCUCAGCAGUAACGUUGAGGGUCGGGGUAGAAUGCAACGCUAUAUUAAAGAAAAGCAACAACAAAACCCAAGCAAACAAAAAUUUCUUGCUCAAAAAAACAAACGAGAAAAAAACUAGCAACCAUAAUGUUGUCCCUCAGAAAUGAAGAAGGGAUAAGAGCUUUCCCAGGCAAAUAAGAGCUGAGGAAGUUCACUAGGCUUGCUGUAUAAGAAAUGCAAAAGGGAAUUCUUCAAGCUGAAAGAAAAGGAUGGUAAUUGGUAAUAUGAAAACAUAUAAGUGUAUAAAAGUCAUUUGUGAAAGUAAGUACAUAGUCAAAUUUAGAAUGCUGUAAUGCUAUAAUGGUGAUGUGUAAAUCAGUUGUAUCUUUAGUGAGGUUUAAAUGCAAAGCUGUUAAAAUAGGCAUAUUUACAAUAAUUUAUGAAAUGAUAUAUAUAAAAUAUGUAAAUUAUGAUCAAUAACAUGUUGGAGGCAAUAAAAUUGUAGAGUUUCUGUAUGUUAUUGAAGGUAUCACCUUAAAAAUAGCCUGUUAUAACCAUAAUAUGUUUUAUAUAAGUCUCAUGGUAACCACAAAUAAGAGAACUAUAGUGUAUACACAGGAGAUAAGUAAGAAAUCAAAGCAUACCACAACAGAGAAUCAUUAAAUUACAAAGGAAGACAGGUAGAGUGGAAGAAAGGAACAAAGAACUUGCAAAGAUAUCAAAAAACAAUGAAUAAAAUGGCAGUAGUAUCUCUUUAUCUAUGAGAUAAGCAGUUUAAAUGUCAGUGGAUUAAAUUCUUCCAUCAAAAGACACAGAGCCACUGAAUGGAUUUUGUUAAAAAAUCCAAACCAUACCCUAUUAACAAGAAACUCGUUUCGUCUUUAAGGACACAAAUAGACUGAAAGUGAAGAAAUGGGAAACGAUAGUCUAUGAAAAUUGAAACCAAAAAGAGCAGAGCUAGCUAUACUUAGAUGAAAUAGACAUUAAAUAAAAAAUUGUGAAAAGAGGCACAGAAGAUUAUUAUAUAAUGAUAAAAAUGGUCGGUUCAUCAAGAAGAUACAACAAUUGUAAACAGAUAUGCACUGAACAUCAGAACACCUAAGUACGUAAAGCAAAUACUAAUAUAUCUGAAGGAAUAAACAAGACUGCAAGGCAAUAAUAGUAGAGGACUCCAAUAUUUCACAUUCAUCAGUAAAUAGAUCAUCCACUUAGAAAAUCAAUAUGGAAUUUGAUGUGUGCACUUCAGUCAUCCAAUAGAUCAACUAUACCUAGCAAACAUAUAUCAGAAUAGUUUAUCCAACAACAGCGGAACACACAUCCUUCUUAAGCAUAUGCUAAACAUUAUCCAGGAUAGACCAUAUGUUAGUCCAGAAAACAAAUCUUAAUACACUUAAGAGGAUUUAAAUGAUAUCAAGGAUAUAUUUUUACCACAAUGGUGUGAAAUUAUAAAUCAAUAAUAGGAAGAAUUUCAAAAAUUUACAAAUACAUGGAAAUUAAAAGCGUGCUUCUCAAUCAGUGGGUCCAAGAUGAAAUUAAAAGGACAAUAAAAAAUAUCUUGAGACUUGUGAAAGUAGACACUCAACAUAUCAAUUUGUAUAGGAUGCAGCAAAAUCAGUUCUAAGAAGUUUAUAGCACUAGAUGCCUACACAUAAAAGAAGAAAAAUCUGGAACAAUUUCGUGUUACACUUAAAGGAACUAGAAAAAUGACAGCCUAAGCCCAAAGUUAGUUGAAUGUAUGAAAUGGUAAACAUCAGAGCAGAAAUAAAUGAAAUAGAAAUUAUGGAAACAAUAGAAGAGAUCAACAAAGCUAACAGUUGCUUUUUUUAAAAGAUAAAAUUGACAAACCUUUAGCUAAGCUGAAAAAAUAGUGAAGAGUUAAAGAAAUAAAAUCAGAAAUGAAAGAGAAUACAUUACAACUUGUAUAUAACAGGAAUAUCAAGAGUCAUAAGAGACAACUAUGAGCAGUCAUUUGCCAACAAAUUAGAUAACCUAGAAGAAAUGUAUAAAUUCCUAGAAACAUACAUCCUACCAAGACUGAAUCAUGAAGAAGUUGAAAAUCUGUAUAAUAAUAAGUAAGGAGGUUGAAUCAGCAAUCAUAAACCUCCCUACCAACAACCGAGGACGUGAUGCCUUUACUAGUGAAUUCUCCUUAAUAUUUAAAGAAUAAACACCAGUGUUUCUCAAGAUCUCUCAAAAAAUUGAUUUGAUGAGAGAAAACUUCCAAACUCAUUUUAAGAGGCCAUUUUUACCAUGAUACCAAAGUCAAAGACACUACAAGGAAAAAAAAAAUGCAGGCCAAUAUUCUUCAUUAAGAUAGAUGCAGAAAUUCUCAACAAAAUACUAGUAAACCAAUAUAUUAAAAGCACCAUACACCAUGCUCAAGCAGGAUUUAUUCUUGGGAUGCAUGUAUGUCUGUGGUUCAACAUUUACAAGUUGAUAAAUGUCAUAAAUAACAUUAAUAGAAUAAAGUGAUUAUCUCAAUGAAUGCAGAAAAAGCAUUAGACAAAAUUUAACAUUUGUUAUAAAAACCCUAAGCAAGUUAGGUAUACAGGGAAUGUACCUGAACCUAAUAAAGGUCAUAUGUGUUAAACCCACAAUUAACAUCAUAACAAUAGGAAGGUGAAGAUGCAAAAAAAAAAAAAGUAUUACAUCAAAUCUUAAAAUAUUGUUUGGGGAUGGAAUAACAGUGUAGAGUCACUUAAUGCAAUCAAACUGAAGUUGUUAUCAGCUUAAAAUAGUCUAACUAUAAGAUGUUUCAUGUAAAUCUUUUGGUCACUACAAAGGAAAAAAUCUAUGCUAGAUACACUUAAGAUAAAAAGUAAGGAACCAAAGCAUAGUGCUAGAGAAAAUCAUUUGACCAUAAAAGAAGACAGCAAGAGAGGAAGAAAGGAAGAAAGAAUUACAAAACAACCAGAAAAACGAGCAAAAUAGCAAUAGUAAAUCCUUAUCUGUGAAUAAUUACCUUGAAUGUUAAUAGAUUAAGUUCUUCAAUGAAAAGAUAAAGUGACUAAAUCAAUCAGAAAACAAGACCCAAGUAUAUUCUGCCUACCAGAGAAUCACCCUCACUUUUAAGGGCACACAUAGAUUGAAUGUGACAGGAUAGAAAUAGAUAAUCCAUGCUGAUGGAAACCAAAAGAGAGUAGAAGUAGCUGUACUUAAAUCAGAUGAAAUAGAAUUUAAAACAUUAUAAAAAGAGACACAGAAAAGGUCAUUAUAUAAUGUAAACUGGCCAGUUUGUGGAGAGGAUAUAACAGUUGUAAAUAUAUCUGCACCCAACAUCCGAGUAGCUAAAUAUAUAAAGUAAAUAUUAAUAAAUCUGAAGAAUGAGAUAGACUGCAAUAUAGUAGUAGUAAAGACUUUAAUAUUCCUCUUUAAAUAAUGAACAGAUCAUCCAGACAGAAAAUGAUAUAGGACUUUAACUACAUCUUACAUCAAAUGUAACAGACAUACGUAGAGCAUUUCAGCAUUCUAUCCAAUAUUAGCAGAAUCCACAUUUUUGUUGAGCACUCUUGGAAACAUCUCCAGGACAGAUCAUAUGUCAGACCAGAAAAUAAGUCUUAACAAAUUUAAGAAGAUUCAAAAUAUACCAAGUAUCAUCUCCAGUCACAAUGGUAUGAAAAUAGAAUUCAGCCCCGUCCCCGUCCCCGGGGCCGCUGCCACCCGCCUCACACCAUGGCUCUGAAGAGAAUACACAAGGAAUUGAAUGACCUGGCCCGUGACCCUCCAGCACAGUGUUCAGCACGUCCUGUUGGAGAUGGUAUGUUCCAUUGGCAAGCUACAAUAAAGGGGCCAAAUGAUAGUCCCUAUCAGGGUGGAGUAUUUUUCUUGACAAUUCAUUUCCCAACAGAUUACCCCUUCAAACCACCUAAGGUUGCAUUUACAACAAGAAUUCAUCAUCCAAAUAUUAACGGUAAUGGCAGCAUUUGUCUUGAUAUUCUGCGGUCACAGUGGUCUCCAGCACUAACUAUUUCAGAAGUACUCUUGUCCAUCUGUUCUCUGUUGUGUGAUCCCAAUCCAGAUGAUCCUUUAGUGCCUGAGAUUGCUUGGAUCUACAAAACAGAUAGAGAAAAGUAACAACAGAAUAGCUCGGGAAUGGACUCAGAAGUAUGCGAUGUAAUUAAAGAAAUUAUUGGAUAACCUCUACAAAUAAAGAUAGGGGAACUCUGAAAGAG